AGCAAGAGUUCAGCAGAAGUAAGAGGUUC
RNAcentral lists this non-coding RNA (29 nucleotides) under Rattus norvegicus (Norway rat). Lineage: Eukaryota; Metazoa; Chordata; Mammalia; Rodentia; Muridae. The record is from RNAcentral.